GUGGGGAAUAUUGGACAAUGGGGGGAACCCUGAUCCAGUCAUGCCGCGUGUGUGAAGAAGGCCUUUUGGUUGUAAAGCACUUUAAGCGAGGAGGAGGCUACCGAGAUUAAUACUCUUGGAUAGUGGACGUUACUCGCAGAAUAAGCACCGGCUAACUCUGUGCCAGCAGCCGCGGUAAUACAGAGGGUGCAAGCGUUAAUCGGAUGUACUGGGCGUAAAGCGCGCGUAGGUGGCCAAUUAAGUCAAAUGUGAAAUCCCCGAGCUUAACUUGGGAAUUGCAUUCGAUACUGGUUGGCUAGAGUAUGGGAGAGGAUGGUAGAAUUCCAGGUGUAGCGGUGAAAUGCGUAGAGAUCUGGAGGAAUACCGAUGGCGAAGGCAGCCAUCUGGCCUAAUACUGACACUGAGGUGCGAAAGCAUGGGGAGCAAACAGGAUUAGAAACCCCAGUAGUCC
Molecule: ribosomal RNA, 451 nt
Filed under: uncultured bacterium
Lineage: Bacteria
Description: partial 16S ribosomal RNA
Rfam family: Bacterial small subunit ribosomal RNA
Source: RNAcentral